UCAUCCCACCCUCCCCUUCCCCCCGUGUCCACAUGUCUGUUCUCUACGUCUGCCUUUCUAUUCCUGCCCAGCAAAUAGGUUCAUCUGUACCAUUUUUCUAGAUUCCUCAUAUAUGCGUUAACAUACAAUAUUUGUUUAGUGAAAAUUCUUUUGCUGCUUAUAUCCACCUGUUUAUGUGAGCCUGGGUUCUUUAUGUAUUUUGGCACCAGAUUGAGAAGUUUCCUGGUCACCAAUCCAGGAUGAUAUGCAAGGUGUUGUGGUCACUCCACAGAAGUAUGCUGGACCCUCCUCCACCCCAAAUCGGUUUGCUGUCAAGACUGAUGAUGCCACAUAUGCACCGAGAGGCAUCUGGAGGGGUGUGCAGGCAUAGCUCCUUUCCAGAAAGAAAGAGUAAAGUGAUUAUUACCCAACUGUGAAUACACAUGGUGUCACCUGUCACUUUGUACCCACGCGCCUAGCCCAGAUGAAGAAACCGAGGCCCAGAAGGUGGCAUGCGUUGCCCACAGUCAAGUAAGGGAGUGGAAGAUUCCUGACUGGAACCAGGCUGACUUUUUUGUUUGUUUGUUUCUGUGUAAAACCUGACAUUGCUAUUAAAAACCAUAAAGAACUACUGAAAAGUACAUAGAAGGAAGAAAAUGAUCACCCCAAA
This is a long non-coding RNA of Physeter macrocephalus (sperm whale), 649 nucleotides long. RefSeq lists it as uncharacterized. The record is from RefSeq and is a predicted model, not a curated record. The transcript is spliced from 3 exons. NCBI's taxonomy places the organism in Eukaryota, Metazoa, Chordata, Mammalia, Artiodactyla, Physeteridae.